Molecule: non-coding RNA, 3807 nt
Organism: Hydra vulgaris (swiftwater hydra)
Lineage: Eukaryota; Metazoa; Cnidaria; Hydrozoa; Anthoathecata; Hydridae
Source: RefSeq, a predicted model, not a curated record
UCUAAAAAAGUUACUUUAAACACACAAGGCAGGCAAUCGCAAGCGUUUCCUGGGAAGGCUUGCUAUUAGACAAACCCUUUACUACUAUGUAUCCAGACAAAUAUCGAGCCAGAGUCAAAAAUCUGUGGACGCUAUGCUAUGGAUAAAUUAUGAUUUUAUUUAAUAAUCUUAAUUGAACUAUAUCUCUCUUUCAGUGACAGCUCCAGCAUUUUUUGGUGUUUGAGAUUAAUGGUUAUGUUGGAGAGGCAGUAAUCACAGUGUUUGUUGUAACACGUGAUAAUGAGCCACAUUUACAUACUGCUACAGGUCCUGGAUCAAGUAAGUUUGAAUGCAAAGAAGUCAAAUUAUCAAAUGGAGUGCAGGCCAUUCAAAUGACUAUGAAGCCUACUGACAGAAAUGAAGAAAUGUUAGCAGUAUUUGAUCAAUUAAGCAUAAGAAGAAUAAGAAACUGGGAGGCAGACAAAGAGUUGCGAGACAGAGGCAUUGAGCCUGUUACAUGGAAAACCAAAAAGAAGGAAGCUAAACUUGCUUUUCAUGUUUCUAUACCUCCAUCAAAAACUCAUUCUGGAUAUGAACUUACAGCUUACUCAAGGCCUUUUCAAUGCACUGCACCAUCAGGUAAUCCAGAAAUAUAUUGGUCUAGUCAUGCAGAAGGUUCUCCGGUAGGUGGUCAAGAAAUGGGAUUUCAUGGAAAAAAAUUUGCAUCUGGUUUUAGAAUAAGAUUUUUUUCUAAAGAUGAUGAUGGAAAAGCCUGGGAAGCAUAUGCUGAUAUUGAUAGAAAUAAAUCUAGCUUGCAUGCUUGUGUUUUCAAAGUACCACCUUAUUUUCAAACCCAUCUGGUAUCUGAUGUUUCAGUUUAUAUUGAAGUUCGAAUUGGUUCGGAAAAAGAGCCACGAAUCAGUGAACCAGUGCAAUUUAGAUAUUUAGCUGAAUCUGAAAAAAAGUGUAAAAACUGUGAUCAGUAUAAAAGUUUUAUUACAGCCAUCCAUCAGUUGUUUAGUGGUAGACAAGAUCUUAAUGGAAUUGUUGGAUUGCUUCAAAAUGUUUUAAACAAAAGUGAAAGUACUAAAAUUGAUCAUCAAGAUUUAGAAAGUAAUUCUUUUAAAAACAUUGAAUCAUCUGCAAACAUGAACUUGAAUCAAAACAUGGAUAGUAAAGAGUUUCCAUUUGUUAACGUAAGCCAUAAUUCUCAUUUAAGUUUCCCAAUUAAUACAAACAGGAGUGGGGAAGUUCAAAUACUGAACAAUUCUGAAUUUUCAUCUGCAGUUAAUUUUACAAAUGAACUUAAGCCAAGAAGAGUCUCUGUUGGAGGCUUUAAUAAUGUUUUAUCUAACUCAUCUUUAACACAUUUACAUCCAAAUGGGCAAACUGAUCUUUCUUCACAAAACGUUUCCACACAUUCAUCAGUGUUUUCACAAAACUACAUUAACUCAUUAAAAAAUCCAUUUAAUAAUGGCGACAGUUAUUCAUCUUCUCACACUACAGGUCUUCCUUCUGUUGAACAAGAAAAUCUUAUAAUAAAAACUGAUCAAACUGAUAGCUUAGAAAAUUACUUGAACUACUCUCAAAUAAAAAAUAAUAAUGACUGUAUGUCAUUUGCUGAUUCUGACCAUGGCAAUAUUAUGCUUAAAGAGAAAAAGUUAGUUGAUAAUUCAGCUUCUAACACUUUGAUGAAUAAUUCAGAAAAUAGUCUUCAAAGUUUUAAUAGUUUCAGUAACAGCCAAGUAGUAUUACCUGCAUUUACUUAUGCCUCAGUUGAUCUUCAUCAAAGUCCUUCACAGGCAUCCUGUUGUUCUAAACCUGUUGAUAAAGAUUUAACAAUACUAACAAGCAAUGUGCAAGACUUCAAAAAUAUGCAAGAGGUGAUGCAACUUAAUUUAGAUUUUUUAGAAAAACAGAGACUUUUAACUUGCAAUAAUUUGGAUCAUCAAGGUAUUGAAAUUGUUGAAGUUUGUAACAAUCAAGAGCUUCCAGAUAAAACUGAUAAAAUGCAGUCUGGAACACACAACUUACAUAUGCCAUCUGUAAAUGGUUUAAAUAAUAAUCAAGUUGCAUAUCACAAUCAUGAAUGUGAAAAAAAUUUAUUAAUGGACAGUUAUAUUUCUUUACAAAAUUAUCAAAAUAAAGAGUGCGAUAAAAAAUGCUUACAUUCUGUUUCUGAACAAGAGUUUGUUUGUAAUUUGCAAGCAUAUUCACAUGGUGAUGAUUAUGUAAGAGUUAAUCAGUUGUACUGUCCAAAUACUCAAAUUCAAGAACACCCUCAAAACACAGCAACCCAAAACAGAGAAAUUGAUGCUUCUUUUAUGCAGCGUAACUUUCCAGCAUCUCCAAUCUGGGUCAAUAGACAAUUAGAUGAUGUUUCUACAGAAUAUAACUAUUAUGUAAACAGUACAUCAAAUCCAACAAUAUCAUUUACAUCUGGCGACAUGAGUAAUUUGAAUUGUAUAAACAAGUCUGUAGUUGUCUCUUCACCAUCUUCAUUAUCUUUUAGUUUAGACAACUCAAAUUUGUUGAACUCUUUGAAUCAAAAUGAUAAAUUAACUUCUCUUGCAGCAUUUGAGCAUUAUCCUCAUAUUUUUAAUUCCGAAAAUGUCCACGGAAAUUCACAAACUAAUAUGGUAAAUGAAAUUCAAAUGGGCAAUGUUGAAGGUUUAAAAGGUUCAAGAAGGCUUCGUUAUCAAGAAUGUCAGCUUAUUUCAUUCAAUAUAGUAUUUUGCAGAACAUAUGAAAUUGUGAAGAUAGUUUGAGAUUGGAAAGUUGUUGAUCUAUUAUAUGGUACUAUUUAAUUUUUAUCUAACUACGAUUUUUCUGUUAAGAUAUUAGUUGUUAUGUAACAUUUAUUGAUACGGUCGAGUUUGACACACACAUGCCAGCUGGUAUUUAAAACUCUUUCAAGAUAACAUUUGCAAUAGGUAAAGUUAAAAAAUUGUUUGUACCAAAAAUGAAAUCAUCUUUACAACUGCAUUUACCAACACUAAUUGAUUUAUUUUAUUUGAUGUGAUUCUCAAAACUGUGUGUAAACAUUUUCCCAUCAUGUCUUCAUUUUAAGAGAUUAAACACAUUUAUAUUUUUUUAUGCUCAAAGAUCCUUUCUAUAUAAAUACUUCACAGAAGGUGAACAGACAGGUAGAAAUAUGAGUCCAGGUGGAGAAGUUACUUUGUAAAGAUCUUGAUCCCACCAAUAUGCUACUAUAUGCACAAUAGAUCAAGUCUUUGUAUUUGAGAUGUGCAAAAAAGUACAAAAAAGAAUCUUUUGAAAAAAUGCUAGAAUAAUCAUUCCAAUAAAAUAAAAGCAAUCAUCCUAUCGAUGAGGAAGAAGACACAAUUUUAAUAACAAUAAUGAUGACAAUAAUGACCAAGAUAAUGACAAUGAAUAAACAAUGGCAAUACAAGAACAGGAACAUUUUAUCAUCGAUGAGCUAGUUGCUUAUUCGAGACAGUUGAGUGGCUGUGCAAUACAACAAUAUUUGGUACCGUGGUAUAGUUACAAAGAUUAAUGAACAUGACGUCAGUGUUGUUAGAAACCGUAGCAACAUGUGACAGAAACUUUUUUAAAUGGUCAGCUACACAGAAGUUCUGAAAUAUGGGAAAGAUAAAAUUUUGAGUCAUAUUGCCCCCAACUAAUCCAAUGAACCCAAGAAUCUGUUUCAUUAUGUCUUCAUGUGAAGCUAUGUCUUCAUGCGAUUUAAGAUUAUCUUGAAAAGAUAAAAAAAGAUUUACGAAUAAAUGAAUGCUAUAACAUGCAUAGACAAUUUUCUAUUGUAAAAAUAAUAUUUUUAAAAAUCACGAUUUUUUUCAUUUCUUAAAA